GGGGCAGCUACCUCAGUCCCCCCUCAGGGGACACUAGCAGUUGGGCCAGUGGAGGAAUUGGUCUGGAAAGGUGGCCUCGGAGAGAACAUGUGCUGACUGUCAGUAAGAGGAGGAACACUUCAGUGGAUGAAAACUAUGAGUGGGACUCUGAGCUUCCAGGGGACUUGGAACUGGUCGAAUCACUGCAGCUGGGGCAGAGAGGUGGUGGCCCCCGGGGCCAGCCUGAACUGAAACUAGACUCCAAGGGACCAGAGGAGUGCACAUGGGGCGCUGGCCACCCUCCUGGGCCAGAGGAACGCUGUGCUGCCCUUCGUGAGGAAUUCUUGGCCUUCCAACGUCGCCGUGAUGCUACCCGGGAACGACUGCCUGCUUACCGAGACCGCAUCAGUCACCCUGAGCAAGCCACAUUGCUAUGAAUGCUCAGUGGUGAGGGGACAAGGACUUAUGGGCAGGGCUGAGCAGGGCCACCUGCAGGGGUACUGGGGGCAUUGAUAAUACCCCCCCAGCUGGUUCCUAGGCACAGACACUGG
This is a long non-coding RNA of Phascolarctos cinereus (koala), 530 nucleotides long. RefSeq lists it as uncharacterized. The record is from RefSeq and is a predicted model, not a curated record. NCBI's taxonomy places the organism in Eukaryota, Metazoa, Chordata, Mammalia, Diprotodontia, Phascolarctidae.